Molecule: ribosomal RNA, 301 nt
Filed under: uncultured bacterium
Lineage: Bacteria
Description: partial 16S ribosomal RNA
Rfam family: Bacterial small subunit ribosomal RNA
Source: RNAcentral
CAGUAGCCGCGGGAAUACGAAGGGGGCUAGCGUUGUUCGGAAUUACUGGGCGUAAAGCGCACGUAGGCGGAUAUUUAAGUCAGGGGUGAAAUCCCAGAGCUCAACUCUGGAACUGCCUUUGAUACUGGGUAUCUUGAGUAUGGAAGAGGUGAGUGGAAUUCCGAGUGUAGAGGUGAAAUUCGUAGAUAUUCGGAGGAACACCAGUGGCGAAGGCGGCUCACUGGUCCAUUACUGACGCUGAGGUGCGAAAGCGUGGGGAGCAAACAGGAUUAGAUACCCCCGUAGUCCCUGUCACUUAUAC